UGGGGAAUAUUGCGCAAUGGGGGCAACCCUGACGCAGCCAUGCCGCGUGUGUGAAGAAGGCCUUCGGGUUGUAAAGCACUUUAAGUGGGGAGAAAAGGGUAGGCGCUAAUAACGGUUACCUGUGAUAUUACCCACAGAAUAAGCACCGGCUAACUCCGUGCCAGCAGCCGCGGUAAUACGGAGGGUGCGAGCGUUAAUCGGAAUUACUGGGCGUAAAGCGCGCGUAGGCGGUUUGUUAAGUCAGCUGUGAAAGCCCCGGGCUCAACCUGGGAACUGCAGUUGAUACUGUCCGACUAGAGUACGAGAGAGGGAGGUAGAAUUCCAUGUGUAGCGGUGAAAUGCGUAGAUAUAUGGAGGAAUACCGGUGGCGAAGGCGGCCUCCUGGCUCGAUACUGACGCU
RNAcentral lists this ribosomal RNA (400 nucleotides) under uncultured bacterium. Its description in RNAcentral is "bacterial SSU rRNA". It matches the Rfam family "Bacterial small subunit ribosomal RNA", at positions 355 to 747 of the family's 1533-position model. The record is from RNAcentral.